GGUAGACAGAGCUAUCUUAUUCUCUGACAAUGCACAGCCUCAGUAUUCUUAUAGUGCCGCAACCUCCAGUCCCUUAAUCCAUAUUUUACCUGAUGUUUCAUGAAAACAAAACCAUAGUCAAUAUUUAAUUGUAAUUAUGUGGAAUACUUUUGUGCCUGAGAGAGACAGACAGACAAAGAGACAGAAAGGGAGAGAAAAAAACCUUCAUAUUUUGCAGGCAAUAUUGUAUACCUCGUACCUGAAAUGCCAGGUAGCAGUUAGCAGUUUUGAUGCCCUCCUUCCUUUUAAGAAUGUUCUAACAUGAACACAGUAAUGAUAAAGUAUCCACGUGACAGCAUUUUCCAGUUGUUAUGGUUUCCUUGGAUACAGCCCCUAGUGAGGUGCGUAAGGUAAAUAUUAGCCUUUCUGUUUUACAAAUGAACGCAAUAUUUCUUUUUAAAUGUCACUUAUGCAGCAAAUUUCUGUGCCCUCUUGCAGCCUCUGGGAGGCUCCUGGAGGAAAGACAGAGCAGAGAAUAUAAACAGAUUACUCUGCCCAAGGUCGGGUUUGUUUCCCUGACUCCGUUCUUAUCCCUGAGUCAACAGCAGAAAUUAAAUUGUUUUAAAAUUCGUUGUCAGGGUCUCUCCCCACCCAUGUUCAGUUACCAAUGUAGCCUGAAUGUUGGGGGAUUAAAUUCCAAUUUUUAUAAUUAAAGUGGUAUGUGCAUUUAUCCUCUUAUUUAUAGAGAUUAACUUCGUGUCAUUUAUUGAAGUCUGUGCAAAGUUACAGUUUAAAAAUCAAUCCACUGUUGAGAAAUGUCUUUCUUUAUUUGAAGAGUUGAGAUAACAGCCCUCAGAAGCUGUCUCUUGAAUUAGGUCUGGUUCUACCCCCUAGUCUUAGAGAAUGAAACAAUUUUUGUGGGCUCUGACCAACCGUUUCAGUUGAUUUCAUCAUGCCUGCUGAGUUUCAUUUUUCCUUUGAUUCAUCUGAACUCAUAGACCCAUAUAAUCAAAAUGCCAAGAAAAUCAGUGAGUUCCAGAUCUGCUGCAUUUUCCCAUAUAGCGCUGUAAAAUGCUUAUGCUCUUAUACUUUGGGGGUUUUUUUUCAAACACGUUAAAAUGGAAACCUCAAAUCUAAAUAAAGCUGAAGGUGUGACUGGGGCUGGAUAGUUAGCUAAGAUAAAAAGUGUGGUAUAACUACAAAUUCCCCCUUAAACUGUGCAUCAUCACCUAGGAAGAAACAAAAGAGCUAUUUAGAGGAUCAAGAUGACUGAUUGAGGAGAAAUUGUUUUCAAAUUUAAAUAUAUCAUUAUUCUUGGAGGAGACUGCUAAACCUCUAUGAAAUUGAGUUCAAAAACAAACUAUUUUGGGUUUUGGAGGUAGAAAUCUUUUUUGUACUAUAUAUAGUGACUAUAAUUAAUUGUAGAAAUACAGUAUUUGUGAGAUAAUUGGUUUAUUCUCAGCAGUAUGAGGUAAAGAUUUCCCAUAUCUCCUCUAGGGAUGCAGGGACUUUAAACAAUUAAUUAGGAGCAAGUUUGCUACAAAGGCAAGUGUUUUCAAUACACUUGGGUGGAAACAAUCAGGAAAAUGUGUUACUCAAGGACUUCUGAGUCUGUGCCAGAAAUCCACUCAGGCUGUCAGCACAGCCAGCGGAGCACUGGAGUUACACUGGAUGUUCAAGAUGUAAAUUCAUUUUCUUAGAGCAACAGGCGUGACUCCAGGAGGCCAAGAAGAAAAUGUAAGGCAGACAACGUCCAAUUCAGGAACAGUCGGAGUGCAGAGACAAAGCCAAGGGUGAAAGAAAUAAAGAUGAUGAUGGCGUUUUGGCCAAAUGACAGGGGACAUUUGUUCUUUGGCAAUGUAAUCAUCUGUGCCAGAGACAUAUAAAGGCCACCCUCUCUUGACUAUUAGACUUUUACAAACCAGGGCCAUUCACCAGCCAUUCCCAUACCAAGAAAGACAAGGCAAAGGCUGUGUCCACGUAUUGUUUCUCCAAGGAGAGGACACUUCCACUUGGGAUUCAAAUGAGUGUCAUUCUCCAUGCGAUAUACCCAGAGGCACACACUGGCCACAUCCUCUCUCUGCCAGCAUCUAUGUGAGUCACAGUGCAGCCACAGAGGACUGGACAAGGAGGAGGGCAGCUGCUCAUCUGGGCUCAAGAAACAGUUUUGAUUGUGCAGAGGAAGCAGACCCUUAGGCUCCAGAGAAGAGCAGACAUUUACUGAUUCCCCCCUCCCCUCCCCCCCCCCUUUUUUUUUUUUGCUGCUUCUGGCCUGGAAGAGAUAAGAAAGGGAAAGGGCCAGUGUGCAGAUUGUCAAGCAAGCAUUUUAUAUUUGUUUUCUCUCUUGGUUCUCCCAACAUCCUGGAUGCAGUGAUAUCUUGGUAUUUUGCACCAAUGAGAAAACAGAAUCAGACUUAUUAGACUAAGAGCUGGGGCCAGAUGAUCUGUGAAGCUCCAAAGCAAAUUUGGGAAUGGAUAGAAUCAGAUCGUUCUUGGUAAUUAUUUCCUCAGAAGAUACUCCAAAUUCUCUUCCUUUCCUCAUUUCUUCCCAUGAAAUGUAGCUAUAUAUUCUUGCCUCAAGUACAGCUAAAAGCAAGAACUAAAAGAGAACUGAAAGCUAAAAGAGAAUCACAACAUUCCAACAGUGGGCAGAGUCUUAGAGAACAAGUGGUGUAGACCUCUCAUGUCACAGAUGGGGAACUUGGUCUAGAGAGGUUAAGUGACCCAUCCAGGGUCUCCCAGCUGAUUUAUGGCAGAGCACGUGCAGAAAGAGCGUGACACGAGCCUUCAUCUUUGGUAGUUCCCUGUGGCCAGGAUGAAUGCUGAGAUCCAAAGAGGGAGCUUUGACCUGCAACUCUGACCCUGGGCCCCUGUCUGUCAGCAGCUGAGCAGAGCAGGUUUGUGAUGCCAAGCUCUUCAUCUCACCCACUGUGAGGUCAACUGUCUGGAAACCCUGAUAGAAAACUCACCACCAUAGGGAUGAAGGGUCAGUGACAGAAAGUUGGUGACUUCUGCUUUUUUGGGGUUUUGUUUUCACUUCUGGUUCUAGGCUUUUUUUUUUUUUUUUGAUAGUAGCCAAUGGGGGAAAGAGGGGGAGACAUCUGGAGUUAUGUUUAGAAACCAUUAACUUUUUUUUUUUUAAAUGCCCCAACCUCUGCUGCUAUUGCCAUGGGCUAUUACCAACUGAGAAGCAUGACAGGCUCUAAGAACAAGCAGAAACAGUGAAAUUUUCAGGAUCAAAACCUAGGCUGAUUCCCAUAGAGCACUCUGUGCACAUCUGAGAGUAGUUUCAAUGACAAAGGUGGCAAAGGCAGCAAGAAGGAAGCCUCCCUUUGGUCUUCCAGACUCGAGUGACUUCAAACAGUAAGAAAUGGGCAGCUCCCCGGGAAGAAUCAGCGCUAGUAUGAUUUGGCCACUCAACUUUAGCUGCAAACUCACAGUAGAAAUGGUACAUAAAAAUAGUUACAUUUGGGUUGGGGGGUGGUGUAUUCCUCUUUUACAACAGAUAUGGUAUUUGUGUGCAUGUGGCUGGCUUUCCUACCUGUCCUUUCAAAUACUGCUUGUAUCCAGAAGAAUCAACACACCACACAGAGGAGAUCUGUCUGGCUGAGUGAGUCUUGCUUCCCUGAGUGCACACCUUCCCCUAAGCUUGUAACAGGAUCCCAGGUACAGGAGGGACUUUGUUCUGUCAAUUGAAUUUGCACAGUUGAGUUCCUCUGCUGAGCUUUCCAAGCAAUCCCUCUAAACUUUUUGCAGAAGAGGGUUAGGCAUGUUCCGCUGGUUCAGAAAACUCCUGGUGUGGGAACACGGUGGGAUCCAAGAAAAAUAAUAGGUGAGACAGUUUCUAACCUGCCCAGGAUCUGCUGCUAGGAUCUAAUUCAAAUGAAAAAAAUGAGACAUGGCUCCCAUCCUGGAUUUAUGUUUUACCAAGGGUAAAAAUUCUGACAAAGUGGAAUUCUUGGAUUCUUAGUGGAAAUUUGGAGACACACACAUCUGGCUUCAAAUCCUAAAUCCUUCCCUCAUCAGCCAUGUGCCUUUGGGCAAGUUCCUUAGCCUCUCUGGGCAUCUACUUCCUGGCCACAACUUUCUCUCAGCUGCAAAUUGGAAUAAUCCUAACUGCAUCGCGGAGGUGGUUCUUUCAGAGUUUAAUCCUUGCCCAUGGUCUGUGCUCUCAGAGUAUUAUUAUCAUGAUUAUUAUUACAAUUAUUCAUUGUGGAAAAGAGUGACAGGCUUAUAUCAGAAAAGCUUUGCUAUCUCCCUGUCCUAUACUCCACUGCUUUUACCCUUGGCUCUGUAUCUAUUCUUGGAGGAAACCUGAGAGUUUCAUAGCUGAGAGUGUGGUAUCCUUUCUGAUUUGGAGGCAGUAGCCACCACCCCUGCUUGGAGCUCAGCUGCAUUAGCUGGCUCCCAGGGUGGUGUCCAUCCAUGCAAACAACCCCCAUUUCCUUUUGUCUCAUCUUCCCUACUGACAACAAAUGGAAAACAUCUCCUUUGCUUGCUGCCAUCCUUGGAAACUAUCCUUAGAGAAUACGGAGGACCCUAGCAAAACACACAAAGAGCCCAAUAAUUUACACAGUGUUCACCAGUCUUGAUGAAAACCACAGAAGAAGCCUUUCAUCCAAAUAGGGAAUCAGCUGACCUUUCUUAGAAAAUACCAGACAGGAAGUAUUCUAGGCUUUGGGACCAUAUAGUCUCUGUCACAACCACUCAGUCCUGUCAUAUGAAAGCAGUCAUAGACACUCUGUCAUCAGACAGUUGUGGAUGGUGCCAACAAAAUAUUAAGGAGAGAAACAAGAGACAGGCUGGAUUUGGCCUGGAGCCCAUAGUUUACUAAACCCUGGAUUCGGAUUUGAUUUUAAAUUUUAGGGGGGAAAUUUGGGAAAAUGUGUGAGAUUUGAAAAAUGUGUAUAAUUAUGGCAAGAAUUUUUACUGUUUUAGUCCAGAUAUUAUUAUAUGGUUUUCAAACUUGGUCACAAUAACCUUGCAAUUCACCCACUGAUGAUACUGAGCAAGAACUUACCUCCCCUUCUGCUGCUUUGUAGACCUUCUCCAUGUGACUUGAAUUUCAGCCCAUAUUGCAUACCUGCUUCUAUAUACAUGCUCAGUCUUGAUCUGGGCACUGUGUGAAUAUAAAGAAGUCCAGACUACAUGUCUUGCCCUCAAGAAGCCUACAAAAACAUAAGCAAUCAAGGCCGACACUCCAGACUGAAGUUCACAUUCACCAUCCUAGUCAUUCUUCCCCCUGCUAGCCAGAGUGACUUUUCAAAGCUCUAAAUCAGAUUAUAGUGCUUUUUGAUUUAUAACCAGCUGAUAGCCUCCCAUCACUCUUAAGAUGCAAAUCCUUUACCAUGUGCUAUAAGGCUGAGUGUGAUCUACCCACCCACCAGUCACACCACUUCCUCCAUUCUAGCCCCACUGGUUUCCUGUAUCCAACAUGCCGGGCUUAUUGCCACCUCACAAACUUUUCCUGGUGGUUUCCUCUGCCUGGAACUUUCUACCCAUCCAGCCUCACCUGGGCUGCAAGUCUCAGCUUCAGUGUUAAUACUACAGAGACGCCUUCCCUGCCUACUCAACUAACAUAGUCACACCCACCUUCCUUCUCCUACCUGGUGGUGGAGCUGAUGGUUCAUGAUUCAAAGCCCAAGCCCCUAAUCCCACGACUAGUCUCUUGGGCAGGACUGUUCUCCAUCGUGAAAGUAUCUAGAGGUCCACCGUGAAUAACAAUGAUCCCCCUAUCACUCAGGAAAUGCCAGGGGUCUAGAAGCUAUUUCGUAGGAACUUGGGACAAACACCAAAUGUAUCAUUCAUUACACAACCAUCUCUUUUCUCUGGGUGUUUGUACUAUUAUUAUUGUCCUCACCCCCAACCAUAGAUGGGAACUCAGGCAGAGAUCUAUAUCCCUGUGCCAAGGGCUGUGCCUGCCACAUGGAGAGGCUCAAAUACAUGUUCAUUAAAUGAAUAUUAGUGGUUAAAUAACCACAAAAGAUUUAAAUAAGCAUUUCAGACUAACAAUGGAGGCAGUUCCACGAGGAACUUCAUGAUAAAUUGCAGAAAACUUGCAGAGACAAUAAUUGCUAUAGAGGUACGAGAGAGGAACUAUCACUUGAUUUAUAUGCAUAACAAUUUUUAACCUCAACGAGGUUUUAGCGCAUUUAUUCAUCUUAACUAAAUGAAAACUUUUAUUCCUUUGUACCUUGAAAAUCCCUCGAAUCCGAUGAUUAUCUUCAAAUU
This 6210-nucleotide long non-coding RNA is filed under the name Sus scrofa (pig). Its description in RNAcentral is "lncRNA (ENSSSCG00000057282.1)". The record is from RNAcentral. Lineage: Eukaryota; Metazoa; Chordata; Mammalia; Artiodactyla; Suidae.